Molecule: long non-coding RNA, 546 nt
Organism: Chenopodium quinoa (quinoa)
Lineage: Eukaryota; Viridiplantae; Streptophyta; Magnoliopsida; Caryophyllales; Amaranthaceae
Exons: 2
Source: RefSeq, a predicted model, not a curated record
CAUGAAUAAAAGAAAUCUUUUUAAGAGAAAAAUGGUUCUUAUUUAUUUCGACAAAUUUACUACUAUUUAAGAAACACCUUUUAAAGAAAAAUGGUUUCUUAUGAAAAGGGGUUUCUUAUAUCAGCUCCCCCACUAACCCUAACUAUUCUUCAUUUCUCCCUUAUCAGCUGCCCCCUUCUAUUCUUUUCUUCUUUCUCUCUCUUACGUCCAUUAAACCCUCCCUACAUAAACACUACAUACAUGUCCUCUCUUUUUCCUCCAUAGAAACCUCCUCUAUCUUAGCUUUCUAUUCAAACGCGCAGAUCUUGAGCAUUUUCUCAUAGGUCUAGAAUUUAAAGGAGCAAUCAACGGUGGAUAUUGUCAUUCAUCAAAUGAAUUCAAAGAAUAUAAAGGCAUGAAGUAUAUCAAUUUUUGUUUGGAUACGAUCGCCAUUUGUUUAGUAGUUAUAGAUAAUUAGUUAUUGUAAAAGUUUUUGAUUAUGUAUCUAAUUUUAUAGUAGUAAAUUGUAAAACAAUAAAAUUAAGUAUAUGAUUCUUUUUUGUUUGA